Molecule: long non-coding RNA, 558 nt
Filed under: Ailuropoda melanoleuca (giant panda)
Lineage: Eukaryota; Metazoa; Chordata; Mammalia; Carnivora; Ursidae
Description: lncRNA (ENSAMEG00000024374.1)
Source: RNAcentral
UUGCAAGAUGCCUCAGACAUCGUGCACGCAUCCUUCUGCCUCAAGCACUGUGAAAACUUGCAGAAAAUGUGGCUGCGGGUAGAAAGGGGAUGUUCCUGGAGAACGAUGCUGCAUGGGAACCAGAGGCUCAGGCUGACGGGUUCCGGAAUGAUCACUCCGUGCUUCCUUUCUGGAUGGAUCCUUUUUCCACGUUCGACUCAAACAAGAAUCUGGUGUUUCUGGACAUCAGUCAGAGCUUCCUGAGUUCCUCCUCAGUGAAACUGCUUUGUGAACAAAUAGCGUCUGCUACCCAUAAUCUUCCGAAAGUGGUGCUGGAGACUUGUUCUGCCACCACCCAGCCCUGGGCCCAUCUCUCCUCCUCCCUCAAGAUCAGCGAGUCCCUCCUGUGCCUGGACCCCACAGCCAGUGAGCGGCCAGACAAGAGUGCCAGGUUGCUGUGCACGACUCCAAGACACCAAGGUGCAGGCGCAGAGGCUGUCGUAAGUGCCGCCUCCCUUCCCGUUUUAGGUCUGGGGCCACACGGGGAAGAGCAGCGGGGGCACUGGACCUAUAGGAACC